ACAUCCUUGGAUGUCAGUUGAGUAAGUAGAAGAACUUCUGAUAAAUAGAAGGAUUCCUGAUAAACAAAGCUGGACUGGGUUGAAAAUUUGUGGCAGAGAGCUGGACCCUCGUCAUACCCACGCACUUUGUCACUGAGAUAGGGUAACCCAUGGUAACUGAGCUCAUCUCAGUUAAGGGACAGAGUGCCUCCCCUCCUCAUUCCUCUAUAAAAGAGACCUAUCAAAGAUACCCUACCAGUUCCAAGCAACCAGCUCAGACAAAGGUGAAGGAAAAACUGAGCCCCGACCUGGUGAGAAGAGUGACAGUCUACAAGGUAUAGAAUGUCGCCUGCCUUCAAACUUCAGUGUCACUUCAUCCUGAUCUUUCUGGGAGCUCUUAGAGGAGAGACCAGAUACCUGGAGCUGCGGGAGGUUGCAGAAGCCGACCCUUUCUUGUUCUUCAGCGCCGACCUGAAGCGGGAGCUGUCCGAGGAACAGCUCUAUCACCGCUCGCUGAAAUGCAUAGACAUGCUGAGCAUCGAGGGUCAGUUCACCUUCACCGCGGAGCAGCCCCAGCUGCACUGCGCCGCCUUCUUCAUUGGGGAACCGGAGGAAGUCAUCUCCAUCCAAUACGACCUGGUCAACAUUGACUGCCACGGCGGAGACUUCCUGAAGGUUUUUGAUGGUUGGAUUCUUAAAGGAGAGAAAUUUCCCAGUUCCCAGGAUCAUCCUCUUCCUAUGUCUGACCGGUACAUAGAUUUCUGCAAAAGUGGCAAUAUCAGAAGUUUUAGCUCAUCACAGAAUGUGGCUAUGAUUUUCUUCCGGAUUCAUGAGACAGGCAAUGGAUUUACAAUAACCAUAAAGAAAAACCCUAACCUCUUCCCCUGCAAUGUCAUCUCUCAGACCCCAAAUGGAAGGUUUACCAUGGUGAUUCCUCAUCAGCACAGAAACUGCAGUUUCUCUAUCAUUUAUCCAGUGGUUAUAAAAAUCUCAGAUCUCAUAUUGGGGCACUUAAAUAACCUUCAGCUAAAGAAACCUUCAGUAGGUUGUGGGGGAAUAGGAGAUUUUGUGGAGCUACUGGGAGGAACUGGAUUGGACCCUUCGAAGAUGAUGCCUUUUGCUGAUCUAUGUUAUCCUUUUCAUGGCCCUGGUGAGGGCGUGAAAAUACAAGAUUUCUAAAGUUCUUUCCAGCUCUAAAUCCUGUGACGGCUAUGUUGGAAGUAUUGCAUAUUGUAACCUGAAAAUUGAACUGAAGAAACACAAAACCCACUUUAUCAGUACCUCUGAUACCUUAUGGAAGGCUUGUCUGGCAAGAGCAAAGGAACAAACAAAUGUAUUCCAAAACUGUGAGGUCCAAAAGACUUAGGCUACAGGAGUAAAGUUCUGAUGGUGAACUUUGAAGAUGUAGCCAACAAGGAGACAAUACAUUUGAGGACCAGGUUCUUCCUGGCUUCCCUAAAACCAUACUGUGUGAGAAGUCAUCUGUAUUGCCCACCUGUAGGACUGACUGACUGGUCCUUGACUCAAAAGCCAAAGUGGAAACAAGUGACUUAAGAAUGAAAAAGAUGGACUUCUGCAUGGAAACACCUUGGGGAACUGGUUCUCAAGUCACAGGUUAGGACUUCAGAGGUGGG
Molecule: RNA transcript, 1613 nt
Organism: Vombatus ursinus (common wombat)
Lineage: Eukaryota; Metazoa; Chordata; Mammalia; Diprotodontia; Vombatidae
Gene: CRHBP
Gene name: corticotropin releasing hormone binding protein
Exons: 8
Source: RefSeq, a predicted model, not a curated record